CCGUUUGACGUCGCCAUUGCUGAAUUGGAUCAAGAGAAUACUGGCUACUGGAAGAAGUCACUACGCAACAGAUUCAGGAAUUGCAGGAAGUGUCAUGAACGUGAUAAUCCAUUAGGACAAAUGGAA
This 126-nucleotide long non-coding RNA is filed under the name Lytechinus variegatus (green sea urchin). RNAcentral describes it as "uncharacterized LOC121423843". Lineage: Eukaryota; Metazoa; Echinodermata; Echinoidea; Temnopleuroida; Toxopneustidae. The record is from RNAcentral.